Molecule: ribosomal RNA, 529 nt
Filed under: embryophyte environmental sample
Lineage: Eukaryota; Viridiplantae; Streptophyta
Description: eukaryotic LSU rRNA
Rfam family: 5.8S ribosomal RNA (bases 100-255)
Source: RNAcentral
GUAUAUUAUAUGUUCCGAAGAGCACGUCGGCAGUUGCCGCCCCGUUCGCGGUGUGCGCGCGGACCGCCUCGUGACUCCUUUCUUGCGAAAAUUUAAAACGACUCUCGGCAACGGAUAUCUCGGCUCUCGCAUCGAUGAAGAACGUAGCGAAAUGCGAUACUUGGUGUGAAUUGCAGAAUCCCGUGAACCAUCGAGUCUUUGAACGCAAGUUGCGCCCCAAGCCAUUAGGCCGAGGGCACGCCUGCCUGGGUGUCACGCAUCGUCGCCCCCUCCACCCCUUAGCCCAACAAAAGGCUAAGGGCGUUGCUGGGACGGAAAAUGGCCUCCCGUAGGCUCCCAGCUUGCGGUUGGCCCAAACGCGAGUCCUCGGCAACGAAUGGCGCCGUGACGAUCGGUGGUAAUGCUCCUAGCGUGCCUUGUCUCCAGUCGCGCGCGCCCGUUGUCCGUGCGGACCCCCUCGGACCCUUUUGUGCAUCGCUCGAACGAUGCUCGCAUCGCGACCCCAGGUCAGGCGGGAUUACCCGCUGAG